Molecule: long non-coding RNA, 176 nt
Organism: Serinus canaria (Common canary)
Lineage: Eukaryota; Metazoa; Chordata; Aves; Passeriformes; Fringillidae
Exons: 3
Source: RefSeq, a predicted model, not a curated record
UGCCCGGCGCUGUCCUGCCCGGCUUGCUUCUCCUCGCAGCGGCGGCGCCGCGGCCGUAACUCCGAUAGAUCUCUUACCCCUCCCUUGGAUGUCAAUUAUUUCUGCAAGAAAUUUCCAAGAGAGUUGUGGCUUCCCCCCUGCUGUAUCCUGUUGGCCACACAGAUUUUGACCCUGUU